This 3099-nucleotide ribosomal RNA is filed under the name Triticum aestivum (bread wheat). Its description in RNAcentral is "partial small subunit ribosomal RNA". Lineage: Eukaryota; Viridiplantae; Streptophyta; Magnoliopsida; Poales; Poaceae. The record is from RNAcentral.
AUGGGGUCGUGGAGGCCGAGGAUGCCGGGGUUCGGCGACGAAGGCGGCGGCGGCGGCGGGCGAGGGGGCGGCCAGGGCAGGGGCAUGGGUGGUCGCGGCCGCGGCGGCUUCGGCUUCUACCCUCAGCAAGGCGGCCGCGGCGGAGGGGGAGGAGGAGGAGGCUCCUACCAGCCUCGCGGCGCGGCGCAGCAGUGGCGCCCGGCCGCCCCUGCUCCGGCGCAGCCGCACGCCAACGGCAACGGCGGCCCGGCCGCCACGAUAGCUCCCGAGCUGCGCCAAGCAAACACGGACGACGCCGCUCCGGCUCCGCCCGCCCCGGCCCCUGAGGCCCUCGAGGCCGUCGCCGAGCAUCUCGAGCUCGACGACGUCACCGACCAGUUCGACGCCCUGUCCAUGUCCAUGGGAGGCGACGACUCGGGCUCGGUCACCACCGGCACCGGCAGGGAGCUCGCCGUGGCCCGGGCGCCGAUCCCGCGGGCGGACAGCUCGUGCAAGUUCCCGCACCGCCCCGGGAGCGGGCGGGCCGGCACGCGGUGCCUGGUGAAGGCGAACCACUUCCUGGCCGAGCUGCCGGACAAGGACCUGCACCAGUACGACGUGGCCAUCACGCCGGAGACGUCGCGGGUGUCCGGCCGCGCCGUCAUGGGCGAGCUGGUGCGCCUGCACCGGGCGUCCUACCUCGGCGGCCGCCUCCCCGCCUACGACGGCAGCAAGAGCAUGUACACCGCCGGCCCGCUGCCCUUCACCUCCAAGGAGUUCCACAUCACCGUGCUCGAGGAGGACGACGGCUCCGGCCAGGAGAGGCGUGAGAGGACGUUCAAGGUGGUGAUCAGGUACGCGGCGAGGGCCGAUCUGCGGCGGCUCGAGCAGUACAUCGCCGGGAGGCAGGCCGAGGCGCCCCAGGAGGCCCUGCAGGUCCUUGACAUCGUCCUGCGUGAGCUGCCAACAGCUAGAUAUGCGCCAUAUGGUCGAUCGUUCUUCUCGCCGGACUUCGGUCGGCGGCGGUCCCUCGGCGACGGGGUCGAGAGCUGGCGCGGGUUUUAUCAGACCAUCCGCCCUACCCAGAUGGGAUUGUCGCUCAACAUCGAUAUGUCAGCAACAUCUUUCUUCGAGCCGCUGCCUGUCCUCGAUUUUGUCGGGCAGCUUUUGAACGCUGACAUUCACUCGAGGGCCCUCUCGGAUGCCGAGCGCGUCAAGAUCAAGAAGGCCCUAAGGGGAGUGAAGGUGGAAGUUACUCACCGUGGCAACAUUCGGCGCAAGUACCGGAUAUCUGGUUUAACAGCUCAGACAACUAGGGAGCUAACUUUUCCUGUUGAUCAAGGGGGCACGGUGAAGUCGGUUGUCCAGUAUUUUCAGGAGACAUAUGGGUUUGCCAUCCAGCACAUCAACCUUCCCUGUCUGACAGUCGGCAACCAGCAGCGUCCAAAUUACCUCCCCAUGGAGGUCUGCAAAAUAGUGGAGGGGCAGAGGUACUCCAAGAGGCUGAACCAGGGCCAGAUAAGAGCUCUUCUUGAGGAGACAUGCCAGCGUCCGCAUGACCGGGAGCGCGACAUAGUUCAGAUGGUGAAUCACAACUCUUACCACGAUGAUCCGUAUGCAAAAGAGUUUGGUAUUAAGAUCAGCGAGCGCCUGGCAUCGGUCGAGGCACGGAUUUUGCCUGCUCCUCGGCUGAAGUACAGCGAGACUGGUAGAGAGAAGGAUUGCUUGCCUAGAGUUGGCCAGUGGAAUAUGAUGAACAAGAAAAUGGUCAAUGGUGCUAGAGUCAGGAGCUGGCUGUGUGUCAACUUCGCUCGAAAUGUGCAAGAGAGUAUGGCUACUGGAUUCUGCCGUGAACUCGCUCGCAUGUGCCAAGCCUCAGGAAUGGACUUUGCUUUGGAGCCUGUUCUUCCGGUUAUAUACGUGCGCCCUGAUCAAGUGGAGAGAGGUCUGAAAGCUAGGUUCCAUGAUGCGAUGACCGCGCUUGGACCGCAGCGCAAGGAGAUCGAGUUGCUUAUUGGAAUUCUCCCUGAUAACAAUGGCUCACUUUAUGGUGACCUGAAGCGUGUCUGCGAGAUCGACCUUGGGCUGAUUUCCCAGUGCUGUUUGACAAAGCAAGUGUUCAAGAUGAACAAGCAAAUCCUGGCAAACCUUUCUCUCAAGAUAAAUGUCAAGGUUGGGGGAAGGAACACUGUACUGGCUGAUGCGUUGACAAGGCGCAUUCCUUUGGUUACGGACAAGCCGACGAUCAUAUUCGGUGCAGAUGUCACCCAUCCUCAUCCUGGUGAAGACAGCAGCCCUUCCAUUGCUGCAGUUGUGGCCUCCCAGGAUUGGCCUGAGGUGACCAAGUAUGCUGGCCUAGUCUCUGCUCAGACUCACAGGCAGGAAUUAAUAGAGGAUCUGUACAAUGUGACUCAUGAUCCUCAGAGGGGAACCAUCCAUGGUGGCAUGGUCAGGGAGCUUCUUACAUCCUUUAAGCGAACAACCGGAGAAAAGCCCGAGCGUAUUAUUUUCUAUAGGGAUGGAGUGAGUGAAGGCCAGUUCUACCAAGUUCUACUGCAUGAGCUUGAUGCCAUCAGAAAGGCAUGCGCAUCGCUGGAAGCAAACUACCAGCCGCUGGUUACGUUUGUCGUGGUCCAGAAGCGCCACCACACGAGGCUGUUUGCGCACAACCACAAUGACCAGAGCACCGUCGACAAGAGCGGCAACAUCCUUCCCGGCACUGUGAUUGACUCCAAGAUCUGCCACCCUACAGAGUUUGAUUUCUUCCUGUGCAGCCAUGCCGGCAUCAAGGGCACGAGCCGCCCCGCGCAUUACCAUGUCCUGUGGGAUGAGAACAACUUCACUGCUGAUGGACUGCAGACCCUCACCAACAACCUCUGCUACACUUACGCUAGGUGCACGCGCUCGGUGUCUAUCGUCCCUCCAGCAUACUACGCUCACCUGGCCGCCUUCCGCGCCCGCUUCUACAUGGAGCCGGACAGCUCCGACAGCGGCUCCAUCUCGAGCGCGCGCAAGUCCGGCUCGUCGACGUCCCGCAGCACCCGCGCCGCCGGCGCCGGGGUCGUCAGGCCCCUCCCUGCGCUCAAGGACAGCGUGAAGAAGGUCAUGUUCUACUGCUGA